GGCUGUCUGAGUUUUUUAGUAUAGGGAGUCUGGCCUGCCCGGUGCCCUGCGGGGUAAACGGCCGCAGCUAAAACUGUGAUAAUGUAGCGCAAUAAAUUGUCCUUUAAUAGGGGAAGAGUAUGAAUGGUUCGACGCGAUCAAGCCUGUGUCAGGAGUAAAGCGUGAAAUUUCCUUCUUAGUGAAUAGGCUGAGAUUUUUGUAAAAGACGAGAAGACCCCGUCGAGCUUGGUUAGGUAAUGAGGUUUGGGAUGCUUUACAGGGUAGCCUACCGGCUGAAUGUCGCUUGAUUCCACUCUCAUGUAUCGGCCUUUUUGUAAGAUUUCACCCAGUUUCGAGGUACACUGAAGAAGUGGGGGGGGGUCUUACAAGAGUUGAGUCGAUGGAGGAUAGUAGUUAAAAUUACUACUUAUAUGGGGUGGAUGUGCGGCUCUAGUCCUUCUAGUUGCCUAUGUUUUGUUGGGGCAACACAAAGCUAGAAAGAACGCUUUGGAUCACGGUAUGUGGAUCCUGUAUUGAUAGAUAGUCAGCAGAAGUUACCGCGGGGAUAACAGCGUAAUUCUCCCGGAUAGGACAUAUUGAUGGGAGAGAUUGCGACCUCGAUGUUGAAUCAGGGUUUCUACAUGCUGCAGAAGGUAUGUAAG
This 641-nucleotide ribosomal RNA is filed under the name Chama gryphoides. Its description in RNAcentral is "partial 16S ribosomal RNA". It matches the Rfam family "Bacterial large subunit ribosomal RNA", at positions 1817 to 2570 of the family's 2925-position model. Lineage: Eukaryota; Metazoa; Mollusca; Bivalvia; Venerida; Chamidae. The record is from RNAcentral.